GCCGGAGUGGUGGAAUUGGCAGACACGCAUGCCUUAGGAGCAUGUGCCCGUAAGGGUGUGCAGGUUCAAGUCCUGUCUCCGGUACCA
Molecule: transfer RNA, 87 nt
Filed under: Candidatus Dojkabacteria bacterium
Lineage: Bacteria
Description: tRNA-Leu
Rfam family: tRNA
About the family: Transfer RNA (tRNA) molecules are approximately 80 nucleotides in length. Their secondary structure includes four short double-helical elements and three loops (D, anti-codon, and T loops).
Source: RNAcentral